UACGUAGGGGGCGAGCGUUGUCCGGAUUCAUUGGGCGUAAAGAGCUCGUAGGCGGUUUGGCAAGUCGGGUGUGAAAUCUCUGGGCUCAACUCAGAGAGGCCACUCGAUACUGCUAUGACUAGAGUCCGGUAGGGGACCAUGGAAUUCCUGGUGUAGCGGUGAAAUGCGCAGAUAUCAGGAGGAACACCGAUGGCGAAGGCGGCUCACUGGCCCGAUACUGACGCUGAGGCACGAAAGCGUGGGGAGCAAACAGG
RNAcentral lists this ribosomal RNA (254 nucleotides) under uncultured bacterium. Its description in RNAcentral is "partial 16S ribosomal RNA". It matches the Rfam family "Bacterial small subunit ribosomal RNA", at positions 524 to 776 of the family's 1533-position model. The record is from RNAcentral.